RNAcentral lists this ribosomal RNA (253 nucleotides) under uncultured Oscillospira sp. RNAcentral describes it as "partial 16S ribosomal RNA". It matches the Rfam family "Bacterial small subunit ribosomal RNA", at positions 524 to 776 of the family's 1533-position model. The record is from RNAcentral. Lineage: Bacteria; Bacillati; Bacillota; Clostridia; Eubacteriales; Oscillospiraceae.
UACGUAGGUGGCAAGCGUUGUCCGGAUUUACUGGGUGUAAAGGGCGUGCAGCCGGGAAGACAAGUCAGAUGUGAAAUCCCGCGGCUCAACCGCGGAACUGCAUUUGAAACUGUUUUUCUUGAGUAUCGGAGAGGUAAUCGGAAUUCCUAGUGUAGCGGUGAAAUGCGUAGAUAUCAGGAGGAACACCGGCGGCGAAGGCGGCCUGCUGGACUGCGACUGACGUUGAGGCUCGAAAGCGUGGGGAGCGAACAGG